GCUUUCACAAGCUCUCAACCUCACGCACCCGUCUCAUCUGGAAACAGGCCUGGAGUUCUCAAUGGGACCUUGCUAAACCCCUGUCCAGACCAGUGCCCCAAUGGUCUUUUUGGAAGUCCUCCUUGUGCCUGUGGAAUCUUUACAAACACUCAGCCUCACGCACCCGUCCCAUCUGGAAACAGGCCUGCCGUGCUCAAUGGGAACUUGGUGAACCCCUGCCCAGACCAGUGCCCCAAUGGUCUUUUGGGAAACCCUCCUUGUGUCUGUGGGGUGACCAGACACUGAGCCUCUGGUGAACUAUGGACGCAGCCUAUAAAGAACAGGACAUGUCCAGAAGGGCGGCACCGUAGAUCCUAUAUACAUCCACCAUGUGACCUCAGCCCCGGAUACAGGGGCCUCAAACUUUUUAUAAAUAAAAACCAUUAUUAUCAGCA
Bufo gargarizans (Asiatic toad) is the source of this 434-nucleotide long non-coding RNA. RefSeq lists it as uncharacterized. The transcript has 6 exons. NCBI's taxonomy places the organism in Eukaryota, Metazoa, Chordata, Amphibia, Anura, Bufonidae. The record is from RefSeq and is a predicted model, not a curated record.